This 90-nucleotide small RNA is filed under the name Flavobacterium flevense. RNAcentral's name for it is "Flavo-1 RNA". It matches the Rfam family "Flavo-1 RNA". The record is from RNAcentral. Lineage: Bacteria; Pseudomonadati; Bacteroidota; Flavobacteriia; Flavobacteriales; Flavobacteriaceae.
UGUUUGCGUUAAGGAUGGAAGCGGCAUCCUUUUAUGAAUCUCGUUUUUUAACGAGAGGAAUAAAAGAUAUAGCGUACAGCCUGACCUCGU